GGCGGCGGUAAACGGGUGAAGUAACGACCGUUAGGUGAUCUCGGCCCAUACGAGAACCGGGGACGAAACGUAAUUCGGGAAACGUAUCGACUAAUACCGGAUAGGACGAAAGUUUAAAGAUGACUCCUGGCAUCACUGAUGGAUGAGCCUGCGGCGCAUUAGCUAGUUGGUGGGGUAAAGGCCUACCAAGGCGACGAUGCGUAGCCGACCUGAGAGGGUGAACGGCCACACUGGGACUGAGACACGGCCCAGACUCCUACGGGAGGCAGCAGUAGGGAAUCUUCGGCAAUGGGCGAAAAGCCUGACCGAGCAACGCCGCGUGAAUGAAGAAGGCCUUCGGGUUGUAAAAUUCUGUUAUAAGGGAAGAAAGGUGAUAGGAGGAAAUGACUAUCAAUUGACGGUACCUUAUGAGAAAGCCACGGCUAACUACGUG
This 433-nucleotide ribosomal RNA is filed under the name uncultured Turicibacter sp. RNAcentral describes it as "bacterial SSU rRNA". It matches the Rfam family "Bacterial small subunit ribosomal RNA", at positions 91 to 507 of the family's 1533-position model. The record is from RNAcentral. Lineage: Bacteria; Bacillati; Bacillota; Erysipelotrichia; Erysipelotrichales; Turicibacteraceae.